Molecule: long non-coding RNA, 253 nt
Filed under: Elaeis guineensis (African oil palm)
Lineage: Eukaryota; Viridiplantae; Streptophyta; Magnoliopsida; Arecales; Arecaceae
Description: long non-coding RNA (EGUI_LNC082440)
Source: RNAcentral
AUAUGAUUAGAUCCUAUGAAAAAGAAUAUGAAAGGAAGAACUUAGUUUCUGCAAAAUCUUAGAUCUUGAAAUCUUAGAUUUGUUGUAUAUGAUACAAAGUUGUAUGAAAAAUAAAAUAUCUAAUCUAUAUGAUUAAAAUUAUUUUAAUCAUGAAAAAAUAAAAUUUUGAAUCAUAAUAAAUUUAGAUAUGAUCUAAAAAGAUAUUUAUGAUUGAUUUUAUUUUAGGAUUAUGCAAGAUUUUUCAGAUCUAAAA